CAUUGUUUUCUGUUUUCUGUGUGCUCCUGUUCCAUGCUCCUGUCCCGUUUGUAGCAGCUGGAUCUCAGAUGGCAGAAGCAUGAGAGAUGCACUGGAGCAAAGGAGCAGGAGGAGAAGACGCCACGCACAGGACGCUGUGGACGCCAGGGCUGCAUGAUCGUGUGGUUAAAGAAACAGAAGAACCCUAAACUCCAGUACUGUGUGUGUGUGUGUGUGUGUGUGGUUCGUAUGUGAAGAAAUCAUGGUAGCCUGGAAGAGGGCCACAGUCUCCUCUUCAUAUAUAAUGCGUCACAGAGCUGUCUGAUAAUCAGGAAGCAGUGAGAGCAGACAGCAUCUUUAUACCAGCAUGAAGGGUGGAUCCUCUGUGGUCACAUGACUUCACAGAAACAGCCUCAGAUACAAGAAACGUCCUGUGCAGAGACGGCAGUGAGUUCAGUUUCUCUGUGCUGUGUGAGAACAUGAACGUCACUUUUUCUUUAUCAUGUGAUUAUAUUAUAACCUGUAAAUCCUGCUGAAGCAGUCAAAAGAAAUCAUAA
Molecule: long non-coding RNA, 536 nt
Organism: Acanthopagrus latus (yellowfin seabream)
Lineage: Eukaryota; Metazoa; Chordata; Actinopteri; Spariformes; Sparidae
Exons: 3
Source: RefSeq, a predicted model, not a curated record